Molecule: ribosomal RNA, 253 nt
Filed under: uncultured bacterium
Lineage: Bacteria
Description: partial 16S ribosomal RNA
Rfam family: Bacterial small subunit ribosomal RNA
Source: RNAcentral
UACGUAGGGUCCAAGCGUUAUCCGGAAUCACUGGGCGUAAAGCGUGCGUAGGUGGAUGUUUAAGUGUGAUGUUAAAUCGUGUGGCUCAACCAUAUCGAUGCAUCGCAUACUGGACGUCUAGAGGACAGCAGAGGCAAGUGGAAUUUGUAGUGUAGCAGUGAAAUGCGUAGAUAUUACAAGGAACACCAAUGGCGAAGGCAGCUUGCUGGGCUACUCCUGACACUGAGGUGCGAAAGCGUGGGGAGCGAACAGG